RNAcentral lists this long non-coding RNA (297 nucleotides) under Capsicum annuum. Its description in RNAcentral is "long non-coding RNA (CANN_LNC003342)". The record is from RNAcentral. Lineage: Eukaryota; Viridiplantae; Streptophyta; Magnoliopsida; Solanales; Solanaceae.
GAUAUUGCACAUGCAUUCUAUGAAUCAUAAUCAUCACAACAUAAGGCAAGGGUUUAUUUGAUGAUCAUAGACCUGAUUUAUGCAGGUAUUAAUAAUGAAAUAAGAUUUCGUGAAAGAUAGAAUUAGAGGCAUUCUCUACCUUACAAAGUACCACGAAUAGACUUAAACUUAGAGGUACUAAUCAUCUACACCCCAAAAAAUAGAUAGCAUACUUCACACUCGCCAACUUACGACUCUCCAAUCACACAUGUAGCCACGAGAAUUUGAGUUCCACUACUUAGUACUACUAUGUUGAAG